CCGUCCCCUCCGCCCCCACGCCCCCUCCAGCGCCUCUCCCUCGGCUCCAGCCCACCCCGGACGUUUCUGUGGAGGAGGGUGGGGGGCUGAACGCGGGAGAGUGACCGAGAAACCCGACCCCACCCUCUCCCGGCCCAGAGGGAGGCAGCAGCUGUCGCACCCCUCACCCCAAGCCUCCUGCUCUCCCCUCUGUGCCAAGUGGGCAAAAAACCCAGAGACCACCAUGCCUGGGCUGGGCGUGAACCCAGACUCCUGCUCCUCGGAAAUGGAGGGAAAUGGCCCCCCACAUCAGCAGACCAGAUGGUGCCCCCCCACCUACCCACGUGGAGGGCUGACCUUCCGAAUCUCAUCCACGCGGGCUCGUAUGUGAAUCUCCUCUGGAAACACUCUCAGAGACACACCACAAAAUAACGCUUUA
Molecule: long non-coding RNA, 418 nt
Organism: Cynocephalus volans (Philippine flying lemur)
Lineage: Eukaryota; Metazoa; Chordata; Mammalia; Dermoptera; Cynocephalidae
Exons: 3
Source: RefSeq, a predicted model, not a curated record